Molecule: non-coding RNA, 174 nt
Filed under: Lactobacillus johnsonii
Lineage: Bacteria; Bacillati; Bacillota; Bacilli; Lactobacillales; Lactobacillaceae
Description: Lysine sequence
Rfam family: Lysine riboswitch aptamer
About the family: Riboswitches are metabolite binding domains within certain messenger RNAs that serve as precision sensors for their corresponding targets.
Source: RNAcentral
CAAUGCAAUAGAGGUUGCGAUAAUCACAGAAUCUACUUGAGUACGCGAAUACAGUGAGAGUAUAUUUUAGGAUUACCGCCGAAAUAAAUUUUCUUUCGUGAAGUUAAUUUGUUGGUAUGUAAGAGAAUAUCUUACAUACUGUCCUGGUCGUCCCCAGGGAGCGCUAUAUGAUUU